AGCAGCCGCGGUAAUUCCAGCUCCAAUAGCGUAUAUUAAAGUUGUUGCAGUUAAAAGCUCGUAGUUGAAUUUCGGGAUCAAUAUGUUGGUCGUGCCUCGGUACGUACUAGCUUAUUGGUUUCUCCUUUCUGAAGAACCAUGAUGUCAUUUAUUUGGUGUCGUGGGGAAUCAGGACUGUUACUUUGAAAAAUUAGAGUGUUUAAAGCAGGCUCACGCUUGAAUACAUUAGCAUGGAAUAAUGAAAUAGGACGUUUGAUUCUAUUUUGUUGGUUUCUAGGAUCGACGUAAUGAUUAAUAGGGAUAGUUGGGGGCAUUAGUAUUCAAUUGUCAGAGGUGAAAUUCUUGGAUUUAUUGAAGACUAACUACUGCGAAAGCAUUUGCCAAGGAUGUUUUCAUUAAUCAAGAACGAAAGUUAGGGGAUCGAAGACGAUCAGAUACCGUCGUAGUCUUAACCAUAAACUAUAGCCGACUAGGGAUCGGAUGGAUGUUAAUUUUUAAUGUACUUCAUUCGGC
Molecule: unclassified non-coding RNA, 513 nt
Filed under: uncultured Glomus
Lineage: Eukaryota; Fungi; Glomeromycota; Glomeromycetes; Glomerales; Glomeraceae
Description: SSU rRNA
Rfam family: Eukaryotic small subunit ribosomal RNA
Source: RNAcentral